RNAcentral lists this unclassified non-coding RNA (224 nucleotides) under Hevea brasiliensis (rubber tree). The record is from RNAcentral. Lineage: Eukaryota; Viridiplantae; Streptophyta; Magnoliopsida; Malpighiales; Euphorbiaceae.
CAUCUCCAGGUCACCUCUAAAGUUACAUGUUUCUCUUUCUGAUUUCUACUCUCUUAAGCUUUCUGUUUGGUUCGCGAGAAAAGUCUUGAAAGUGAAGAUUGUGUAUCAAUGGGGAACACCUCUUCAGUGCUUACUCAAUAUGAUAUAGAAGAGGUUCAACGACACUGUCAUAAUCUAUUCUCCCAGCAAGAAAUAGUGUCCUUGUAUAAAAGAUUUUGCCAGCG